RNAcentral lists this transfer RNA (77 nucleotides) under Candidatus Saccharimonadota bacterium. RNAcentral's name for it is "tRNA-Arg". It matches the Rfam family "tRNA". From Rfam's summary of the family: Transfer RNA (tRNA) molecules are approximately 80 nucleotides in length. Their secondary structure includes four short double-helical elements and three loops (D, anti-codon, and T loops). Further hydrogen bonds mediate the characteristic L-shaped molecular structure. tRNAs have two regions of fundamental functional importance: the anti-codon, which is responsible for specific mRNA codon recognition, and the 3' end, to which the tRNAs corresponding amino acid is attached (by aminoacyl-tRNA synthetases). tRNAs cope with the degeneracy of the genetic code in two manners: having more than one tRNA (with a specific anti-codon) for a particular amino acid; and 'wobble' base-pairing, i.e. permitting non-standard base-pairing at the 3rd anti-codon position. Lineage: Bacteria; Candidatus Saccharimonadota. The record is from RNAcentral.
GCCUCCGUAGCUCAGUGGAUUAGAGCGUCUGUCUUCGGAACAGAAAGUCGUGGGUUCGAGUCCCUCCGGAGGUACCA